CCUUCGAUAGCUCAGUUGGUAGAGCGGUGGACUGUAGAUGGUAACAUAAGCAAUAGAAAUCCAUAGGUCGCUGGUUCAAAUCCGGCUCGAAGGA
Molecule: non-coding RNA, 94 nt
Organism: Drosophila ficusphila
Lineage: Eukaryota; Metazoa; Arthropoda; Insecta; Diptera; Drosophilidae
Source: Rfam